UACGGAGGAUGCGAGCGUUAUCCGGAUUUAUUGGGUUUAAAGGGUGCGUAGGCGGGAUGCCAAGUCAGCGGUAAAAUGCGGUGCUCAACGCCGUCGAGCCGUUGAAACUGGCGUUCUUGAGUGGGCGAGAAGUAUGCGGAAUGCGUGGUGUAGCGGUGAAAUGCAUAGAUAUCACGCAGAACUCCGAUUGCGAAGGCAGCAUACCGGCGCCCUACUGACGCUGAGGCACGAAAGCGUAGGUAUCGAACAGG
RNAcentral lists this ribosomal RNA (251 nucleotides) under uncultured bacterium. RNAcentral's name for it is "partial 16S ribosomal RNA". It matches the Rfam family "Bacterial small subunit ribosomal RNA", at positions 524 to 776 of the family's 1533-position model. The record is from RNAcentral.